AGGAUGCCCAAGAGAUAUGUUGAACAGGUGUGUCCAUCAAUCACUUUCUGGAUUGGAUCUAAUGCUUAUACACUAGGAUAAUAUUCUUUUGCAAGAAUUCUGUUGGGGAAGGAAAUAAUCACUCUUAAGGCAUCUUUCAUGCAGGUCCUGGGUAUCUACCGGGUUUUGCUUCAGGUGGGCUCUCUCUGUAUUUCUAGCCCUCUGUAGUCAGGCCAAACUCAGACAUUAUUUAAAGGAAAAAGGAGACAUAGGGAUAUCUUCCUCCAAUUCUUCCAUUUUCCAAAGGAACUCGAUGGCCACUCAGAAGGGUUUAGAGACACACCUAGGGUCUCAGGUCAGCUAAUGGCACCUUUAUACCAGCCCCCUCCUCCAUCCUCCGUCAGUGUGAUGGCUUCUCCAUUUAGGACAUUUUGGGCUUUUCUGCCUGUCAACUUCUUCAUUCAGCUAAGCUGCUCACAUCAAAUUCCAUUUAAUCUUUGCCGUUCCUUGGAUCCUUCUGAGGAUGGAUGGUUGCGUCUGCGUGUUUCCGACCCCCCCCCCACCAUAAUCUGUCAUCUUCUUAGAGGAAUCUGCCAUACCAGAGGUGGCCUCGGUGCUGAAUCAGAGAAGCAGAAACUGAUAUGAAUUCGUCUAGAGGACCACAGGCGAACACCCUCGCAGUGGGUUCUAUCCAGAGUUUGAGGGGGUGAAGUUAGGAACAAGAACUGUCUUUCUGUCCCCCUCGCCCAUCUGCCCUUACACAGUAGAGUGCUUAAGAGUCACACAAUUCUCCCACAUCUUGUGACCUUAGCAAAUUAACCUCUCUGUACCUCAGUUCCCGUAGCCAUCAAUUUAUCCCUCUCUUGGGGUCCCUCUCUUUCUUGCAGUGCUGGGGAUCAAACCCCAGGGCCUUAUGCAUGCUAAGCAACUGACCACUGAGCUAUAACCUCAGUUCUAAUGUCUAUCUCUUAAGGCAAUUGUGAAAACUAAAUAGUGUCAGGCACAGUGUCUGACAUAUAGUAAUCAAUAUUAGUAUUAUUGUCAUUGUAAUCAUAUUUUUCCCACUCUGUAUUUUAGAGAAGAGGGAUGGAGGAGAAAAAGGAAAAAUGAAGAGUUUGAUGUUAUUAUUGGUGCUGGGACAGAACCCCGGGCCUCUGCAUACUAAGCUCAUGCUCUGCUCUUGACUCACACCUCCAGGCCAGGAGGUUCUGAGCCAAUGGAAUAAGUCAAAAGAUCAUUAAAAUGGGCUUCAUUCAAUGUCAUGUUCCUCAGAAAGUUAGUAAUGAUUGCUUUUUCUUAUUUACAACAUAUCUAACAUCUGCUAUCUCGCUUGCUCUUUUCCACAAAGUAGUUUUCUUGGCUAGUUUGCAGAGAAAGCUGCUGGACACAGAGAUAAGAGCUUUCUUAAGGUCUCAAAGGUCUCAAUCAGGGCUGGGAUUUAGACCCUGGAUGUGUGAAGUCAGGGUUGGGUUUUAUUUUUAUUUUAUAUUUUUCCCUCUGGGAGAGGCUGCCUGUCUAAAUUUCUCCUGCUGUCAGAAAUGUUCUACCUAGAUUCCUGGAUCUGACCUUAGAAGUCAUCUAGUCCAAAUUCCCACUCAGUGUAGCCAUACCUUCUCACCAAGCAUGCAUUGUUUAAAUUCUGGAACUCCUGCAGGGAGAGGGAAUUCUGACCUGCACGCUUGUGUUGUUAGAAAGCUGUAAAGGUUAUGAGGCUCGGUGGCCCCUCCUGCUGCCAGGUCACACCCAGGACAUGUCCAUUUAGUGCCAGGGAGACCUUGUCAGCUUGUGGCUUGGCUUGAGUGGUAGCUGGAGAGCUGGUAAAGAGGAGAUGUGGCACGCCUAGAGCUCUGAGCUGGGCAGGACCAGGCUGUCAGGUGCCAUCACUGGCUGGAGAAGGGCUGCAGCCUCCAGGGCAACUUGGUGCCAGACAGCAUUAUCAUUAAGAGAUGCAAUGGAAAUUCCCCAGACACCACUGCUUCAUUCUUUGUGGGAGCGAAUUCCUCUCCAUCCUUCUCAUUUCUUUCCUGAUUGGCAGAUGUUCCCCCACUUCCUCUGGAGCCAGAAGUAAAUGCCUUCUGGCACACAGAAUCUCUUAAGUUAUAUCACCACCAUCACCAUCAUCCUGAUUGUCAUUACUAUGGCAACUCCAUUUAUUUGCUCUUACCAUGUUCUAGGCACUAUGCAAAGCACUUUCUAUGCAAUCGCUCAUUAUUUCUCACAAGAAUCCUGUGAAGAGACAUGAUUAUCCCUGGGAAAGAAACUGGAGUACUGAGAGGGAAAGCGACCUGCCCAAGGUCACACAGCAAACAAGCAUCAGAGCCCAAACUUGUUCCCAAGACCAUGUCCAAAGCCAGCAUACCAAACUGCCUCUCAGAGUUCUGUGCCACCUGCUGCCUCCUCCGUCCUCAGUUGUGCUCAUUCUGAGUCAAGUACACGAGAUUCAGCUAGAAACAAAAAAUCUGAUUUUCUGCAAACAUCUUGUGAGGUGGUUUCUUGGUGUUAUGUCACUGUCCACUCCCAGGCUUCCUUUGGUUCCCACUCCCAGUUGGGAAGGUCUGUGUUGGUCUCUGCCAGCACCAGUCUGGCUCCUGCAUGCAGCAGAGAUUCUGACUCUUGCCUCUGAGGGGCAUCAAGCCAGGAUGGGCCCUUAGUCUGUCUGACAUCCCCGAUUUCUGAGAUUUCCUAAAACUGACCCUUCUUGGACUCACCAAACUUGAGCCUUGGACUGGGUUCCUUCACCUUGAUUCUGAGUGUCUCCUUUCCCUUUAAGGGAUCAGAAUACUGCUCCUUCUCUCUAUAAGCCUGGAAUUGGCUUAGGACAUUGGAAGGGUGCCUCUGUAGCCCCACAGUGGGGGACUUUGGGGAGAAGCAUGAGAGGACAAGGGACGGGUGGUUCUGCUUCUCAGCCUGGUGGUACAGGCUGCCCCUGGGUCUUGGGAUCUUCUCCUAGGCCAUGGAGGCAGCUGCUCAGAAGUGCAAUGGGAUGAGAGGAUAGGGGCACAGCCCUGGGCUUCUCACACAAGGAC
Molecule: long non-coding RNA, 3005 nt
Filed under: Marmota monax (woodchuck)
Lineage: Eukaryota; Metazoa; Chordata; Mammalia; Rodentia; Sciuridae
Source: RNAcentral